This 468-nucleotide ribosomal RNA is filed under the name uncultured bacterium. Its description in RNAcentral is "partial 16S ribosomal RNA". It matches the Rfam family "Bacterial small subunit ribosomal RNA", at positions 28 to 507 of the family's 1533-position model. The record is from RNAcentral.
GACGAACGCUGGCGGCGUGCUUAACACAUGCAAGUCGAACGGAAAGGCCCUGCUUUUGUGGGGUGCUCGAGUGGUGAACGGGUGAGUAACACGUGAGUAACCUGCCCUUGACUUUGGGAUAACUUCAGGAAACUGGGGCUAAUACCGGAUAGGAGCUCCUGCUGCAUGGUGGGGGUUGGAAAGUUUCGGCGGGUGGGGAUGGACUCGCGGCUUAUCAGCUUGUUGGUGGGGUAGUGGCUUACCAAGGCUUUGACGGGUAGCCGGCCUGGGAGGGUGACCGGCCACAUUGGGACUGAGAUACGGCCCAGACUCCUACGUGAGGCAGCAGUGGGGAAUAUUGCACAAUGGGCCGAAGCCUGAUGCAGCAACGCCGCGUGCGGGAUGACGGCCUUCGGGUUGUAAACCGCUUUCGCCUGUGACGAAGCGUGAGUGACGGUAAUGGAUAAAGAAGCACCGGCUAACUACGUG